AGAUUGAACGCUGGCGGCAUGCUUUACACAUGCAAGUCGAGCGGCAGCGCGGGGGCAACCCUGGCGGCGAGCGGCGAACGGGUGAGUAAUACAUCGGAACGUGUCCAAUAGUGGGGGAUAACCAGUCGAAAGAUUGGCUAAUACCGCAUACGAUCUACGGAUGAAAGCGGGGGAUCGCAAGACCUCGCGCUUUUGGAGCGGCCGAUGUCCGAUUAGCUAGUUGGCGGGGUAACGGCCCACCAAGGCGACGAUCGGUAGCUGGUCUGAGAGGAUGAUCAGCCACACUGGAACUGAGACACGGUCCAGACUCCUACGGGAGGCAGCAGUGGGGAAUUUUGGACAAUGGGCGCAAGCCUGAUCCAGCCAUGCCGCGUGAGUGAAGAAUGCCUUCGGUUGUAAAGCUCUUUCGACGGGACGAAACGGUUCGUGUUAACACCGCGGACUAAUGACGGUACUCGGAGAAGAAGCACCGGCUAACUACGUGCCAGCAGCCGCGGUAAC
RNAcentral lists this ribosomal RNA (501 nucleotides) under uncultured soil bacterium. RNAcentral's name for it is "bacterial SSU rRNA". It matches the Rfam family "Bacterial small subunit ribosomal RNA", at positions 26 to 524 of the family's 1533-position model. The record is from RNAcentral.